This is a long non-coding RNA of Pan troglodytes (chimpanzee), 1011 nucleotides long. RefSeq lists it as uncharacterized. The transcript is spliced from 5 exons. Lineage: Eukaryota; Metazoa; Chordata; Mammalia; Primates; Hominidae. The record is from RefSeq and is a predicted model, not a curated record.
AUUCAUUCCACAAACAUUUCUAAGUGUCCAUGGUGACCCAGACAUCAUGGGAACUUCAGGGUUCCAGAGCUGAGUAGAACACAACUCCCAUCCUUAGGGAUUCACCAUCCAGUAGAGGAGAAAGACGUCAAGACAGAAGACAGAAGGGAAAGGAAAAGCUCAAUGCUGUGCCUUCAACUUAGCUUCUCCAUUUUUUGGAGAAGGGUUAAUAGGGGAAGCAGAGAGAGAGAUGAGAGACCAGAGUUUCUAGGGCCUUUAUCUCCAGAGCAGAGGGUCUCAAACCUUAGUGAGCAAAGACUGAUCCAGAAGACUUGUUGGAGGCAUAGCUUCCAGUUCAGCGAGCCAUUUCAGCAGAUUGGAGAUCCCCUGCCUGCAGCACGUGCUGAUCUCCAAGGGUGAGGCUGGAUGAAGCCAGGGGCUAUGGAAAAGGAGACUGUUUCAGAGGACUUGACACCAUCUUCAGUAAUUUCUCUGGUUCUUGGCAGCUCCAUUUGGCUGCGUCCCUACCCUGCAUAACCCUCCCAGCUAGUCUACUCCAGGGCAGCGUCCAGCUGGUGACCUGAGAGGGCAGCAGCGCACCAGUCUCCAUGAAGGUUGAGCUCCGAUGGCCAAUAGCAAUUUCCACCUUGUGGUCUACAACUCUUCAUCCCGACUGCAUGGAGGUUGGUCUCUCUGUUCAGCUGGAUUUAGGCCACCAUCUGAGCCCCCGGGGUACGUUUUGUCUGACCCUGGCACCAUUCGGUUCUUCUACAGCAUCAGUUCUCUUUCCUGCCACCAUGUGAAGAAGGACAUGUUUGCUUCCCCUUCUGCCAUGAAUGCAUCAUGUGUCAUUCUCACAGCUGUUAGGACUUCAAUGAUGUUAUAAGGAAGUUGGGGCUCAGAGAAGCUACAGAACUUACCCAAGGACACACAGCCAUCACGUCUUCCAAUCAAGAGGAACUGUGUUUGAAGAGCUAUUAUUAAAGAACCACCCCUGAGAAGCUUUAUUUUCCCCUGGACCCAAUUGAGAGA